CAAUAGCGUAUAUUUAAGUUGUUGCAGUUAAAAAGCUCGUAGUUGGAUUUCGGGUGGGACGCAGCGGUCUCGCAUUGCGUUUGUACUGCUGCAGCCCUCCUUCUUGCCGGGGGCGGCCUCUCGGACUUCACUGUCUGGGGGUCAGAAUCGGCGAUGUUACUUUGAGUAAUUUAGAGUGUUCAAAGCAAGCUUACGCUCUGAAUAUAAUAGCAUGGGAUAACACGACAGGACUCUGGCCUAUCGUGUUGGUCUAUAGGACCAGAGUAAUGAUUAAGAGGGACAGUCGGGGGCAUUCGUAUUCCGUUGUCAGAGGUGAAAUUCUUGGAUUUACGGAAGACGAACAUCUGCGAAAGCAUUUGCCAAGGAUGUUUUCAUUGA
This 378-nucleotide ribosomal RNA is filed under the name uncultured eukaryote. Its description in RNAcentral is "partial 18S ribosomal RNA". It matches the Rfam family "Eukaryotic small subunit ribosomal RNA", at positions 592 to 976 of the family's 1831-position model. The record is from RNAcentral.